Molecule: long non-coding RNA, 236 nt
Organism: Osmerus eperlanus (European smelt)
Lineage: Eukaryota; Metazoa; Chordata; Actinopteri; Osmeriformes; Osmeridae
Exons: 2
Source: RefSeq, a predicted model, not a curated record
UCAACGUUCACAUAGGUGCUGACAAUAAGUUAAUGACUUCUAAUUCCAGACGCUGUGAUGAAGUGGAAGACGGGACUGGGAGAGAAAGCUGUGGAGCUCCUCAUAGCGGAGACACUCAAACACACCCCGGCAGCCCAUUCAAAACAAGCCAGGGCCAACAGACAGGACCUGUAGCGGGGACUGGCAGAAGAUUUUAAUUCACUGUUUGGCACUUUGUUUGAAAUAAAAUGACAAUG